GUGCUCACCUCGGCAGUAGAUAUACUAAAAUUGGAACGGUGCAGAGAAGAUUCACGUGACUCCUGUGCAAGGAUGACACGCAAAUUCGUGACGUGUUCCAUAUUUUU
This 107-nucleotide small nuclear RNA is filed under the name Chinchilla lanigera (long-tailed chinchilla). The record is from RNAcentral. Lineage: Eukaryota; Metazoa; Chordata; Mammalia; Rodentia; Chinchillidae.